AUUUGGUUAGCUUAAAUAUUUAAAGCUUAAUAUUGAAGAUAUUAAGAUAAGAGCUUAUUUCUUACCAAAUA
RNAcentral lists this transfer RNA (71 nucleotides) under Entomovelia sp. YC-2015. RNAcentral describes it as "tRNA-Phe". The record is from RNAcentral. Lineage: Eukaryota; Metazoa; Arthropoda; Insecta; Hemiptera; Veliidae.